This 326-nucleotide ribosomal RNA is filed under the name uncultured bacterium. RNAcentral describes it as "bacterial SSU rRNA". It matches the Rfam family "Bacterial small subunit ribosomal RNA", at positions 30 to 355 of the family's 1533-position model. The record is from RNAcentral.
AUUGAACGCUGGCGGCGUGCUUAACACAUGCAAGUCGAUCGGUAACAGGUGUAGCAAUACAUGCUGACGAGAGGCGGACGGGUGAGUAAUGCUUGGGAAUCUGCCUAUUAGUGGGGGACAACCCGGGGAAACUCGGGCUAAUACCGCAUACGCUCUACGGGGGAAAGGCCGGGACCGCAAGGCCUGGCGCUAAUAGAUGAGCCCAAGUCGGAUUAGCUAGUUGGUAGGGUAACGGCCACCAAGGCGACAAUCCGUAGCUGGUCUGAGAGGACGACCAGCCACACCGGAACUGAGACACGGUCCGGACUCCUACGGGAGGCAGCAGU